CCUGCCCAAUGGUUGUAUCUAAAAGCGGUUGAUAAAAGUCGACCGCGUAAGGACAAUUGAAUGGCCGCGGUAACACUGACCGUGAUAAUGUAGCGUAAUCAAUAGCCAAUUAAUUGUUGGCCAGUAUGAAUGGCGCCACGAAGGCCCCACUGUCUUAAGGAAAUUCCCAGUGAAAUUGAAUUCGUAGUGAAGAUGCUACGUCCAAUUUGUUAGACGAAAAGACCCCGUUGAGCUUUACUGGGGCACUUACACGGCCCCGGCCUUCAAGACUGGGUUGAUAAGCCAAGGCUUACCAUACCUAGGGACCGGCCGAAUUUAAAUGGGCGGCUUAGACUAUGUGGCAGCCCCCCCCGUCGGGGCAGAUGAAACCCCACUCCCCCAUGUCAAAGGGGCUAACCCCCCCCCCCUUGGGGGGGGGACAAUGUAAGUAGGACAGUUUGGUUGGGGCGACCGCCUUUUAGAGAGUAACGAAGGUGCGCUUAAGGUGCGUAAUUAAUGACUGAAGCCUGACUGCGAGGGGGACACCCCGAGCAGACACCCCCAAGCCCGCCCGAGAAGGCUUUGCCUUCUGGGCGGCGGUGGGGUGG
RNAcentral lists this ribosomal RNA (587 nucleotides) under Umimayanthus chanpuru. Its description in RNAcentral is "partial 16S ribosomal RNA". It matches the Rfam family "Bacterial large subunit ribosomal RNA", at positions 1858 to 2423 of the family's 2925-position model. The record is from RNAcentral. Lineage: Eukaryota; Metazoa; Cnidaria; Anthozoa; Zoantharia; Parazoanthidae.